GCCCGUGCGGGAGAUGAUGUUCCUCCUUUAACCGCCCGUUUCAUUAGGGAUGAUGACGUCUAACAACAA
This 69-nucleotide non-coding RNA is filed under the name Photobacterium aphoticum. Its description in RNAcentral is "Fluoride sequence". It matches the Rfam family "Fluoride riboswitch aptamer (crcB RNA motif)". Lineage: Bacteria; Pseudomonadati; Pseudomonadota; Gammaproteobacteria; Vibrionales; Vibrionaceae. The record is from Rfam by way of RNAcentral.